GGGUUGUGAGGUUAAGCGACUAAGCGUACACGGUGGAUGCCCUGGCAGUCAGAGGCGAUGAAGGGCGUGCUAAUCUGCGAUAAGCGCCGGUAAGGUGAUAUGAACCGUUAUAACCGGCGAUACCCGAAUGGGGAAACCCAGUGUGAUUCGUCACACUAUCAUUAACUGAAUCCAUAGGUUAAUGAGGCGAACCGGGGGAACUGAAACAUCUAAGUACCCCGAGGAAAAGAAAUCAACCGAGAUUCCCCCAGUAGCGGCGAGCGAACGGGGAGGAGCCCAGAGCCUGAAUCAGCAUGUGUGUUAGUGGAAGCGUCUGGAAAGGCGCGCGAUACAGGGUGACAGCCCCGUACACAAAAGCGCAUGUGCUGUGAGCUCGAUGAGUAGGGCGGGACACGUGGUAUCCUGUCUGAAUAUGGGGGGACCAUCCUCCAAGGCUAAAUACUCCUGACUGACCGAUAGUGAACCAGUACCGUGAGGGAAAGGCGAAAAGAACCCCGGCGAGGGGAGUGAAAAAGAACCUGAAACCGUGUACGUACAAGCAGUGGGAGCACCCUUCGGGGUGUGACUGCGUACC
RNAcentral lists this ribosomal RNA (574 nucleotides) under Salmonella enterica subsp. enterica serovar Typhimurium. RNAcentral describes it as "partial 23S ribosomal RNA". It matches the Rfam family "Bacterial large subunit ribosomal RNA", at positions 1 to 605 of the family's 2925-position model. Lineage: Bacteria; Pseudomonadati; Pseudomonadota; Gammaproteobacteria; Enterobacterales; Enterobacteriaceae. The record is from RNAcentral.